Non-coding RNA from Ailuropoda melanoleuca (giant panda), 406 nucleotides. The record is from the annotation of a RefSeq genome assembly. Lineage: Eukaryota; Metazoa; Chordata; Mammalia; Carnivora; Ursidae.
AUGUUGCUCUCCAGGCUUCUGAGGGUGCUCAUGGCUUCCACGUGGCUAGGAUCCAGUAUUGCCCAGAAGGUAACUCAAGCCCAACUGGCGAUGUUAGGGCAGGAGAAGGGGGCUGUCACUCUGGAAUGCAUGCUUAGUACAAGUGACCCGAGUUACAGUCUACUGUGCUACAAGCAGCCCAGCUGUGGGGCAAUGAUUUUUCCUUAUUCGUCAAGAUUCUUACAGCCAGCAAAAUGCCACUGAUGGUCGCUACUCACUGAAUUUCCAGAAGACAAGAAAAUCCAUCCAACUUGUCAUCUCAGCUUCAGAGCUGGAGGACUCCGCAGUGUAUAUCUGUGCACUGAGGGAGGCCACAGUGAGUGGAGUGAUGGAGGGAGGUGUACCCAAACCCCAGGGCUCUUCCUGA